This 392-nucleotide ribosomal RNA is filed under the name uncultured microorganism. RNAcentral describes it as "bacterial SSU rRNA". It matches the Rfam family "Bacterial small subunit ribosomal RNA", at positions 9 to 396 of the family's 1533-position model. The record is from RNAcentral.
GAGUUUGAUCGUGGCUCAGAUUGAACGCUGGCGGCAUGCCUUACACAUGCAAGUCGAACGGCAGCAUGAUCUAGCUUGCUAGAUUGAUGGCGAGUGGCGAACGGGUGAGUAAUACAUCGGAACGUGCCCUGUAGUGGGGGAUAACUAGUCGAAAGAUUAGCUAAUACCGCAUACGACCUGAGGGUGAAAGUGGGGGACCGCAAGGCCUCAUGCUAUAGGAGCGGCCGACGUCUGAUUAGCUAGUUGGUGGGGUAAAGGCCCGACCAAGGCGACGAUCAGUAGCUGGUCUGAGAGGACGAUCAGCCACACUGGGACUGAGACACGGCCCAGACUCCUACGGGAGGCAGCAGUGGGGAAUUUUGGACAAUGGGCGAAAGCCUGAUCCAGCAAUG